This 932-nucleotide ribosomal RNA is filed under the name Escherichia coli. RNAcentral describes it as "partial 23S ribosomal RNA". It matches the Rfam family "Bacterial large subunit ribosomal RNA", at positions 450 to 1381 of the family's 2925-position model. The record is from RNAcentral. Lineage: Bacteria; Pseudomonadati; Pseudomonadota; Gammaproteobacteria; Enterobacterales; Enterobacteriaceae.
GGACCAUCCUCCAAGGCUAAAUACUCCUGACUGACCGAUAGUGAACCAGUACCGUGAGGGAAAGGCGAAAAGAACCCCGGCGAGGGGAGUGAAAAAGAACCUGAAACCGUGUACGUACAAGCAGUGGGAGCACGCUUAGGCGUGUGACUGCGUACCUUUUGUAUAAUGGGUCAGCGACUUAUAUUCUGUAGCAAGGUUAACCGAAUAGGGGAGCCGAAGGGAAACCGAGUCUUAACUGGGCGUUAAGUUGCAGGGUAUAGACCCGAAACCCGGUGAUCUAGCCAUGGGCAGGUUGAAGGUUGGGUAACACUAACUGGAGGACCGAACCGACUAAUGUUGAAAAAUUAGCGGAUGACUUGUGGCUGGGGGUGAAAGGCCAAUCAAACCGGGAGAUAGCUGGUUCUCCCCGAAAGCUAUUUAGGUAGCGCCUCGUGAAUUCAUCUCCGGGGGUAGAGCACUGUUUCGGCAAGGGGGUCAUCCCGACUUACCAACCCGAUGCAAACUACGAAUACCGGAGAAUGUUAUCACGGGAGACACACGGCGGGUGCUAACGUCCGUCGUGAAGAGGGAAACAACCCAGACCGCCAGCUAAGGUCCCAAAGUCAUGGUUAAGUGGGAAACGAUGUGGGAAGGCCCAGACAGCCAGGAUGUUGGCUUAGAAGCAGCCAUCAUUUAAAGAAAGCGUAAUAGCUCACUGGUCGAGUCGGCCUGCGCGGAAGAUGUAACGGGGCUAAACCAUGCACCGAAGCUGCGGCAGCGACGCUUAUGCGUUGUUGGGUAGGGGAGCGUUCUGUAAGCCUGCGAAGGUGUGCUGUGAGGCAUGCUGGAGGUAUCAGAAGUGCGAAUGCUGACAUAAGUAACGAUAAAGCGGGUGAAAAGCCCGCUCGCCGGAAGACCAAGGGUUCCUGUCCAACGUUAAUCGGGGCAGGGUG